UUUUUUUGUAAGAAAACAAUGACGACUAUGAUUUUAGUAAACAGAACUAACCACUUUAAAUUUGAAUUUCCACUCAAACAAAAGUUUAUACAGGAAAGGCUUGCUUAGGAAACUUAUAUCUGAGUAUCCAACACAUAUGCAUUUAUAUAUAAGUUCCAUGAAAAUUGAUUAAAAAAAAAAAACAAAAAAUAAAAGAACUUCCCGCCUAGGGAGGAAAAAAAUUCCCUCCUCCCGCCUAUGCAUUUAUACAUACCUAAUAAGGAGUCUUAAUUAUCUCACAAAAGAAGGGAAAAAAUCCUUAUUUCUCCUUAUGUUUUAUUUAGUCAUUAAAAAGAAUAAAACUUCCUUUGCUACGCACUUGUUUCUCAAACCCUAAAAGCACAUCUUUCUUCCUCCUCUCUCACUACGGCAAUGAAGAAUUGAAAAGUUGAGAAGCUUCUUGAUUGAUUGGGUGACGAUUAAAGAGUGAAGUGAAGUCGGAUUCGUUGUUGAUUUGUUCUUUCAGUGCGGUGCAGCAAGCAAAAGCAAAAUUAGGACAAUAUUGCAAUAGAUUCAAGUACACACCAUGAUGAAGAUGGUACUGAUGAAGAUGUUGCUGAUGAAUAUGAUGCAAACUCUAAUGAGGACUUUUAUUAGAUAUAUUGUUAGCUUCCUUGCUUAAGAAUGAUUAUAUUAGAAAGACCAAAUAUUGAAUAUUUAUCUUUAUCUGAACAUGUAUGAAUGAUUAACUAUGUUCUUCUAAUGCAAUUUUUUUAUGAAGAUUUAAUUGUCUC
Molecule: long non-coding RNA, 773 nt
Organism: Rosa rugosa (rugosa rose)
Lineage: Eukaryota; Viridiplantae; Streptophyta; Magnoliopsida; Rosales; Rosaceae
Exons: 3
Source: RefSeq, a predicted model, not a curated record